This 442-nucleotide ribosomal RNA is filed under the name uncultured bacterium. RNAcentral describes it as "bacterial SSU rRNA". It matches the Rfam family "Bacterial small subunit ribosomal RNA", at positions 28 to 478 of the family's 1533-position model. The record is from RNAcentral.
GAUGAACGCUGGCGGCGUGCUUAACACAUGCAAGUCGAACGGGAUCCCAGGAGCUUGCUCCUGGGUGAGAGUGGCGAACGGGUGAGUAAUGCGUGACCGACCUGCCCCAUACACCGGAAUAGCUCCUGGAAACGGGUGGUAAUGCCGGAUGCUCCGACAUGACGCAUGUCGUGUCGGGAAAGAUUCAUCGGUAUGGGAUGGGGUCGCGUCCUAUCAGCUUGAUGGCGGGGUAACGGCCCACCAUGGCUUCGACGGGUAGCCGGCCUGAGAGGGCGACCGGCCACAUUGGGACUGAGAUACGGCCCAGACUCCUACGGGAGGCAGCAGUGGGGAAUAUUGCACAAUGGGCGCAAGCCUGAUGCAGCGACGCCGCGUGCGGGAUGACGGCCUUCGGGUUGUAAACCGCUUUUGACUGGGAGCAAGCCCUUCGGGGUGAGUGUAC